RNAcentral lists this ribosomal RNA (300 nucleotides) under uncultured bacterium. RNAcentral describes it as "bacterial SSU rRNA". It matches the Rfam family "Bacterial small subunit ribosomal RNA", at positions 32 to 342 of the family's 1533-position model. The record is from RNAcentral.
AAUCAACGCUGGCGGCGUGCCUAACACAUGCAAGUCGCACGAGAAAGGGUAGCAAUACCUGAGUAAAGUGGCGCACGGGUGAGUAACACGUGACUAAUCUACCCUCGAGUGGGAAUAACUGAGAGAAAGUACUUAGCUAAUACCGCAUAACACUUACGAGUCAAAGCAGCAAUGCGCUUGGGGAGGAGGUCGCGGCAGAUUAGCUAGUUGGUGGGGUAAUGGCCACCAAGGCGAUGAUCUGUAUCCGGCCUGAGAGGGCGCACGGACACACUGGAACUGAAACACGGUCCAGACUCCUAC